This 327-nucleotide long non-coding RNA is filed under the name Numida meleagris (helmeted guineafowl). RNAcentral describes it as "lncRNA (ENSNMEG00000015888.1)". The record is from RNAcentral. Lineage: Eukaryota; Metazoa; Chordata; Aves; Galliformes; Numididae.
UGGUAGCAGGUCUGGAACUGUUCAGGCUGAGGAAUGGCCAGUGCCUGGAUUUCUGAAUAUUAGGAAGAGCAGGAUGCAUUGAGUCCCACUUUGCAGCAGAGACUUGUGAGCAAACACCAGCCCCUGGGGGAGAAGUGUGGUCCUGUUUACUUGCUGCCAUAACUGCUUCACUGAAGACAAUUUUAAGCUUCCUAGGAAAGUUCAUUAAAAGGUCUCUGUGAAUGUACAAGGGAGUGUAAACACGUUGCCCACAGCAACUUCAACACGUGGCAUGGGAACUGCUGCCCUGAAGGCACCGCUUCACCUGCUCACUGCUCCGCCAGCAGC